AAACUUAAAGGAAUUGACGGAAGGGCACCACCAGGAGUGGAAUCUGCGGCUUAAUUUGACCCAACGCGGGAAAACUCACCAGGUCAGGACACGGUAAGGAUUGACGGACUGAAGGCUCUUUCUCGAUUCCGUGGAAAGUGGUGCAUGGCCGUUUUUGGUUGGUGGAUCGAUCCGUCUGGUUAAUUCCGUUAACGAACGAGACCUCGGCACUCCGAAUAGCGCGGCGGACGUCGCGGCCUCCGGGCCGUCUUCCGCACGAGCUUCUUAGAGGGACCGUCCCCCGCCGGGGAAGGAGGUGCGAGGCAACGACAGGUCUGUGAUGCCCUUAGAUGUUCUGGGCCGCACGCGCAUUACACUGACGCGUCCAACGGGUGACUCCCGACCCGAAGGGGCCGGGGAAUCCGCAAGGCGCGUCGUGAUGGGGAUUGAACGUUGCAAUUGUUGUUCACGAACGAGGAAUUCCUAGUAGGCGCGGGUCAUCAACCCGCGCCGAUUACGUCCCUG
RNAcentral lists this ribosomal RNA (504 nucleotides) under uncultured eukaryote. Its description in RNAcentral is "bacterial SSU rRNA". It matches the Rfam family "Eukaryotic small subunit ribosomal RNA", at positions 1140 to 1655 of the family's 1831-position model. The record is from RNAcentral.